UCGUUUCAUUAUUAGGUUAUAUAUUUAUGUACAUUAUUUGCCCCUUUUAUACUCAUAUGCUUUUAUUUAUGCUCCACCCAUCCUCUGUGAUGGGUUAUUAUACGUCAUCAGCACUCGGUCCUCCUUUAGGCCCCAUAUAUACAAGCAGAGGUACCUCUCAUACACUCCUGCACUAUGUGCACGUAGCAUCCAAUCUACACUUUAGUUUUUAGCUAGUGCGCACAAUUGGGGCGUGUGUCAGCUGCUGUCAGUGGCGCGUUUCCAUGGUGACGAGUCACUCUCUGUGAUCUUCCUGGUUCAUUCUCAUCGCCAUGGUUGCACGCAUUGCGUUUGCGUGUGGCACGCGUCACUCAUUGAUGCGCGUCCUCGUCUCUAACUUUUGGAGCUGAUGCGUCUCCGUGGUGAUGGGUCCUGUGAGCGAGCGGCCGCCUAUCCAUAUAGCGGUCUUUACUCAUCGCCACGGUCACGCUCCUCGUGCACUAUACACGUACUUCCGGUCCUUCACCUGCGGUUUUCUCACUUAAAUCCUAAUUAGGAUUACUAUUAAUAUGGAUGUUUAGGCUGUAGUUUGUACUUUUGAUUUUGCUCCUGAGGAAGCGUGCAGAGAGCACGCGAAACGCGUUGAGCUACCAUUGAUUCUGUUUUCAUACUACUACUACAUUGUAAGUAGCCUGUAUUGUGCAGGAUUUUAUUAUAUUAAACGUUUUUACACUAUAUUUGCCUCAUCUUCUAUUCUACAUAUGUUGUGAACUGGGUUCCUCUUCAAUCAAUGCCCGGCUGGGAUUCACCUAUAUGCUUCUUACUAAGUUGAUCUGGCUCAUCUAAAGGGGAGCUGACAUCAGGAGGAAGCAGCACGUGAUUUACAUUUACUUUCACCAUUUUUGAAGAUUGAUAUACACGGAUUUUGUCAUCAAGAAGCGCCGGUUUAGGAGUGAUCAUUUACUCCUCAAAUACUAGACUGCCUACUGGGCAUGCCUGGUUUCCACUGGAGCAGAGGCAGCAAGCAUGCGCUGUAGACACCUCAUUCAUAAUCUUCACAUUCAGAGAAAAGAAGAGCUCAGCAAAGGGGGCAGAGCUUCACAUUAGUAUAGGACGCAGACAGAAUUGAAGUUUAGCUACAUGAGAAUAAGUACAGGGAGAAAGAAGUGGAGUGCCAGCCUAAGUUAAAAAAGUAAUCAACUGAAUUCACUAGAGGUGUGCUAAAGGAGGCUCGCGCCAAAAUGUGAAGCACAAAGAGAAUGAAGAUAGGAAGCAAUUCAGCGGGGCUGCUGAAGAGAUUUGCUUGUGAAGAGGGACAGACACCCAGAGCAGGCUGAAGAUUUUCUGCACUAAACACUAAAGUCUUUAAUCUCUGUAAAACUGCUUGAGGAGAUUUGACUACAUGACACUUGGAGAGAACAUCACAUCAUUCAGAUCCUUUCCAAGGACAACUGAGCGCCUCCUGUAUAGAUAAAACACCCUAAGACUUUGUCAUGACACAACACGUGGUGUGGGAGAAAACAAAAAUACCAAUAUGUAUGUAUGCAUGAAUGACUGUUUAUGUAUAUAGCGCUACUUGUAUAUACAGCUGUACAUGUACAUGCUGUACAGCAGAAUGCAUUAACAGCACAGAGGUCAAACAACAAUAAUAAAUUACAUUCAAGCUAAUUGCUUGUUGUUUUGAAUAGACACGCCCCAUAACAUCCACAUUUUCACAGAAUAGAGAGCUUAUUUACCAGAAUAGGCUAAUCAGUUUGCCUCUUACAACAAAUUUAUAUAUAUAUAUAUAUAUUGUGCACCACAAUAAAAGCCACUUGUGCUGUACCGUA
Molecule: long non-coding RNA, 1808 nt
Organism: Xenopus tropicalis (tropical clawed frog)
Lineage: Eukaryota; Metazoa; Chordata; Amphibia; Anura; Pipidae
Exons: 4
Source: RefSeq, a predicted model, not a curated record